RNAcentral lists this ribosomal RNA (424 nucleotides) under uncultured bacterium. RNAcentral's name for it is "partial 16S ribosomal RNA". It matches the Rfam family "Bacterial small subunit ribosomal RNA", at positions 360 to 776 of the family's 1533-position model. The record is from RNAcentral.
AAUUUUGGACAAUGGGGGAAACCCUGAUCCAGCAAUGCCGCGUGCAGGAUGAAGGCCUUCGGGUUNUAAACUGCUUUUGUACGGAANGAAAAGUCUUGGGCUAAUACCCUGGGAUCCUGACGGUACCGUAAGAAUAAGCACCGGCUAACUACGUACCAGCAGCCGCGGUAAUACGUAGGGUGCAAGCGUUAAUCGGAAUUACAGGGCGUAAGGCGUGCGCAGUCGGUUUUGUAAGACAGUGGUGAAAUCCGUGGGCUCAACCUGGGCCCUGCCAUUGUGACUGCAAGGCUGGAGUGCGGCAGAGGGGCAUGGAAUUCCGCGUGUAGCAGUGAAAUGCGUAGAUAUGCGGAGGAACACCGGUGGCGAAGGCAAUCCCCUGGGCCUGCACUGUCGCUCAUGCACGAAAGCGUGGGGAGCAAACAGG